Molecule: ribosomal RNA, 468 nt
Filed under: uncultured bacterium
Lineage: Bacteria
Description: partial 16S ribosomal RNA
Rfam family: Bacterial small subunit ribosomal RNA
Source: RNAcentral
GACGAACGCUGGCGGCGGGCUUAACACAUGCAAGUCGAACGGAAACGCCCUGCUUUUGUGGGGUUCUCGAGGGGGGGACGGGGGAGUAACAGGUGAGCAACCUGCCCUUGUCUUUGGGAGAAGUUCAGGAAACUGGGGUUAAUAUCGUAUAGCAGCUCCUGCUGCAUGGAGGGGAUUGGAAAGUGUGGGCGGGUGGGGAUGGGCUGGCGGCUGAUGAGUUUGUUGGUGGGGUAGGGGCUGACCAAGGCUUUGACGGGUAGCCGGCCUGAGAGGGUGACCGGCCACAUUGGGACUGAGAUACGGCCCAGACUCGUACGGGAGGCAGCAGUGGGGAAUAUUGCACAAUGGGCGGAAGCCGGAUGCAGCAACGCCGCGUGCGGGAUGACGGCCUUCGGGUUGUAAACCGCUUUCGCCUGUGACGAAGCGUGAGUGACGGUAAUGGGUAAAGAAGCACCGGCUAACUACGUG